Molecule: ribosomal RNA, 497 nt
Filed under: uncultured bacterium
Lineage: Bacteria
Description: partial 16S ribosomal RNA
Rfam family: Bacterial small subunit ribosomal RNA
Source: RNAcentral
GACGAACGCUGGCGGCGUGCCUAAUACAUGCAAGUCGAACGAACGGAUAAAGAGCUUGCUCUUUUGAAGUUAGUGGCGGACGGGUGAGUAACACGUGGGUAACCUGCCUCACAGCUGGGGAUAACAUCGAGAAAUCGAUGCUAAUACCGAAUGUGCUGAACAUCAUAAGAUGUUCAAGUGAAAGACGGUUUCGGCUGUCACUGUGAGAUGGACCCGCGCUGGAUUAGCUAGUUGGUAAGGUAAUGGCUUACCAAGGCGACGAUCCAUAGCCGACCUGAGAGGGUGAUCGGCCACAUUGGGACUGAGACACGGCCCAAACUCCUACGGGAGGCAGCAGUAGGGAAUCUUCGGCAAUGGACGAAAGUCUGACCGAGCAACGCCGCGUGAGCGAAGAAGGCCUUCGGGUCGUAAAGCUCUGUUGUUAGAGAAGAACAUGGGUGAGAGUAACUGUUCACCCCUUGACGGUAUCUAACCAGAAAGCCACGGCUAACUACGUG